Molecule: ribosomal RNA, 407 nt
Filed under: uncultured bacterium
Lineage: Bacteria
Description: partial 16S ribosomal RNA
Rfam family: Bacterial small subunit ribosomal RNA
Source: RNAcentral
AUUGAACGCUGGCGGCAGGCCUAACACAUGCAAGUCGAGCGGAGCGGCGGACGGGUGAGUAAUGACUAGGAAUCUGCCUGGUAGUGGUGGAUAACGUACGUAAACGGAAGCUAAUACCGCAUACUAUCAGAUGAGCCUAGGUCGGAUUAGCUAGUUGGUGAGGUAAAGGCCUACCAAGGCCACGAGCCGUAACUGGUAUGAGAGGAUGAUCCGUCACACUGGAACUGAGACACGGUCCAGACUCCUACGGGAGGCAGCAGUGGGGAAUAUUGGGCAAUGGGCGAAAGCCUGAUCCAGCCAUGCCGCGUGUGUGAAGAAGGUCUUCGGAUUGUAAAGCACUUUAAGUUGGGAAGCGUUACCAACAGAAUAAGCACCGGCUAACUUCGUGCCAGCAGCCGCGGUAAUUC